GACGAACGCUGGCGGCGUGCCUAAUACAUGCAAGUCGAACGCAGUGGGGACGGGUGAGUAACACGUGGGUAACCUCCCAUCAGAGGGGAUAACACUUGGAAACAGGUGCUAAACCGAUACUGAUGGAUGGACUCGCGGGGCAUUAGCUAGUUGGUGAGGUAACGGCUCACCAAGGCCACGAUGCAUAGCCGGCCUGAGAGGGGGAGCGACCACACUGGUACUGAGACAUGGACCAGACUCCUACGGGAGGCAGCAGUGGGGAAUCGUCGGCAAUGGACGAAAGUCUGACAGAGCAAGGCCGCGUGAGUGAAGAAGGUUUUCGGAGCGUAAAGCACUGUUGUUAGGGAAGCGGUAUCUAACCAGAAAGCAACGGCUAACUACGUGCCAGCAGCCGCGGUAAUUC
RNAcentral lists this ribosomal RNA (403 nucleotides) under uncultured bacterium. Its description in RNAcentral is "partial 16S ribosomal RNA". It matches the Rfam family "Bacterial small subunit ribosomal RNA", at positions 28 to 526 of the family's 1533-position model. The record is from RNAcentral.